GUCUACGGCCAUUCCACCCUGAAUGUGCCUGAUCUCGGAAGCAAAGCAGUGUCAGGCCUGGUUAGUACUUGGAUGGGUGACCACCUGGGAAUAAUGGUUGUGGUAAGCU
RNAcentral lists this ribosomal RNA (109 nucleotides) under Bison bison bison. The record is from RNAcentral. Lineage: Eukaryota; Metazoa; Chordata; Mammalia; Artiodactyla; Bovidae.